GAUGAACGCUGGCGGCGUGCCUAAUACAUGCAAGUCGAGCGAACGGACGAGAAGCUUGCUUCUCUGAUGUUAGCGGCGGACGGGUGAGUAACACGUGGAUAACCUACCUAUAAGACUGGGAUAACUUCGGGAAACCGGAGCUAAUACCGGAUAAUAUUUUGAACCGCAUGGUUCAAAAGUGAAAGACGGUCUUGCUGUCACUUAUAGAUGGAUCCGCGCUGCAUUAGCUAGUUGGUAAGGUAACGGCUUACCAAGGCAACGAUGCAUAGCCGAACUGAGAGGCUGAUCGGCCACACUGGAACUGAGACACGGUCCAGACUCCUGCGGGAGGCAGCAGUCGGGAAUCUUCCGCAGUGGGCGAAAGCCUGACGGAGCAACGCGGCGUGAGUGAUGAAGGUCUUCGGAUCGGAAAACUCUGUUAUUAGGGAAGAACAUAUGUGUAAGUAACUGUGCACAUCUUGACGGUACCUAAUCAGAAAGCCACGGCUAACUACGUG
Molecule: ribosomal RNA, 497 nt
Filed under: uncultured bacterium
Lineage: Bacteria
Description: partial 16S ribosomal RNA
Rfam family: Bacterial small subunit ribosomal RNA
Source: RNAcentral